AUGACAAUGUCUGUCGGUGUGUUGGCUUGGAAUGUCAGGGGGCUCAAUAACCCUACUAGGCGUAACUCGGUCCGUUUAUUCCUGCAAACUUGCAAUGCUUCACUUGUUUGUCUUCAAGAAUCUAAGCUGGCCUGGGUGAAUGUUGUGGUUGUUGGGCAAACUCUUGGCCCAUCUUUCGAUGGCUUUGAUUUUCUGCCAGCCAAGGGUACAAGAGGGGGGAUCCUUUUUGCAUGGAAA
RNAcentral lists this ribosomal RNA (237 nucleotides) under Triticum aestivum (bread wheat). RNAcentral's name for it is "partial small subunit ribosomal RNA". Lineage: Eukaryota; Viridiplantae; Streptophyta; Magnoliopsida; Poales; Poaceae. The record is from RNAcentral.